GAUGUGGCCAUCGGCUACUUCCCCUCGAGCAUGUUCCCAGUGCCCUUCAUCGAGAGCUUCCACAACGAGAUGGGCGGACGGGUGCUGGACACGCGGCCGGGGGGCAGGCACACCGUGACGUGGAUGGGCAGCGGCAUGUUAGCCUCGGCGGGGGCCAACAACGCCGCCUCCAUUGCCUACUACCUAGGCAUCAACGACGACGGCGUCAAGUUGGAUUUUCCUGUCAACAGCAUCGUCACCACCCCCAAGUGCUACGAUGUCAAGAACCUUGGACCAGAUCUCAAACAUCCAGGCAACGACGUCGCCUACGGCGGCCCCGGAGGAUACUACUGCGAUCAAUAA
Molecule: ribosomal RNA, 342 nt
Filed under: Triticum aestivum (bread wheat)
Lineage: Eukaryota; Viridiplantae; Streptophyta; Magnoliopsida; Poales; Poaceae
Description: partial small subunit ribosomal RNA
Source: RNAcentral